UACGGAGGGUGCGAGCGUUGUUCGGAAUCACUGGGCGUAAAGGGCGUGUAGGCGGUCCGCUAAGUCUGAUGUGAAAGCCCGGGGCUCACCCCCGGAAGUGCAUUGGAAACUGGCGGACUCGAGUCCCGGAGAGGAGAGUGGAAUUCCUGGUGUAGCGGUGAAAUGCGUAGAUAUCUGGAGGAACACCGGUGGCGAAGGCGGCAUCCUGGACCAAUAUUGACGCUGAGGAGCGAAAGCCAGGGGAGCAAACGGG
Molecule: ribosomal RNA, 253 nt
Filed under: uncultured bacterium
Lineage: Bacteria
Description: partial 16S ribosomal RNA
Rfam family: Bacterial small subunit ribosomal RNA
Source: RNAcentral